AGGGCACCACCAGGAGUGGAGCCUGCGGCUUAAUUUGACUCAACACGGGAAAACUCACCCGGCCCGGACACUGGAAGGAUUGACAGAUUGAGAGCUCUUUCUUGAUUCAGUGGGUGGUAGUGCAUGGCCGUUCUUAGUUGGUGGAGUGAUUUGUCUGGUUAAUUCCGAUAACGAACGAGACUCUAGCCUACUAAAUAGAUCGUCGGCUUACAAACGCCGGCGAGACUUCUUAGAGGGACAGGCGGUGAUUCAACCGCACGAAACAGAGCAAUAACAGGUCUGUGAUGCCCUUAGAUGUCCGGGGCCGCACGCGCGCUACACUGAAGUGAUCAGCGUGCUUUUUCAACCUACUCUGUCAAGAGUGGGGAACCCAAUGAACCUUCUUCGUGAUUGGGAUAGGGGAUUGUAAUUGUUCCCCUUGAACGAGGAAUUCCCAGUAAGCGCGAGUCAUAAGCUCGCGUUGAUUACGUCCCUGCCCUUUGUACACACCGCCCGUCGCUACUACCGAUUGAAUGUUUU
RNAcentral lists this ribosomal RNA (519 nucleotides) under uncultured eukaryote. Its description in RNAcentral is "SSU rRNA". It matches the Rfam family "Eukaryotic small subunit ribosomal RNA", at positions 1161 to 1699 of the family's 1831-position model. The record is from RNAcentral.